AGAGUUUGAUCCUGGCUCAGAUUGAACGCUGGCGGCAUGCCUUACACAUGCAAGUCGAACGGCAGCACAGGUGCUUGCACCGGGUGGCGAGUGGCGAACGGGUGAGUAACACAUCGGAACGUGUCCUGGAGUGGGGGAUAGGCCGGCGAAAGCCGGGUUAAUACCGCAUACGAUCUGAGGAUGAAAGCGGGGGACCUUCGGGCCUCGCGCUCAAGGAGCGGCCGAUGGCGGAUUAGCUAGUUGGUGGGGUAAAGGCCCACCAAGGCGACGAUCCGUAGCUGGUCUGAGAGGACGACCAGCCACACUGGGACUGAGACACGGCCCAGACUCCUACGGGAGGCAGCAGUGGGGAAUUUUGGACAAUGGGGGCAACCCUGAUCCAGCAAUGCCGCGUGUGUGAAGAAGGCCUUCGGGUUGUAAAGCACUUUUGUCCGGAAAGAAAACUUCGUCCCUAAUAUGGAUGGAGGAUGACGGUACCGGAAGAAUAAGCACCGGCUAACUACGUGCCAGCAGCCGCGGUAAUACGUAGGGUGCGAGCGUUAAUCGGAAUUACUGGGCGUAAAGCGUGCGCAGGCGGUGAUGUAAGACCGAUGUGAAAUCCCCGGGCUUAACCUGGGAACUGCAUUGGUGACUGCAUCGCUGGAGUAUGGCAGAGGGGGGUGGAAUUCCACGUGUAGCAGUGAAAUGCGUAGAGAUGUGGAGGAACACCGAUGGCGAAGGCAGCCCCCUGGGCCAAUACUGACGCUCAUGCACGAAAGCGUGGGGAGCAAACAGGAUUAGAUACCCCAGUAGUCC
This 795-nucleotide ribosomal RNA is filed under the name uncultured bacterium. Its description in RNAcentral is "bacterial SSU rRNA". It matches the Rfam family "Bacterial small subunit ribosomal RNA", at positions 8 to 796 of the family's 1533-position model. The record is from RNAcentral.